RNAcentral lists this non-coding RNA (117 nucleotides) under Gorilla gorilla gorilla (western lowland gorilla). Lineage: Eukaryota; Metazoa; Chordata; Mammalia; Primates; Hominidae. The record is from Rfam by way of RNAcentral.
GCCAGGCAUGGUGGCUCACGCCUGUAAUCCCAGCACUUUGGGAGGCUGAGGCGGGGGGAUCACUUGAGGUCAGGAGUUUGAGACCAGCCUGGCCAACAUAGUGAAACCCCGUCUCUA